UGGGGAAUAUUGCACAAUGGGCGCAAGCCUGAUGCAGCCAUGCCGCGUGUGUGAAGAAGGCCUUCGGGUUGUAAAGCACUUUCAGCGAGGAGGAAGGUGGUGGACUUAAUACGUUCAUCAAUUGACGUUACUCGCAGAAGAAGCACCGGCUAACUCCGUGCCAGCAGCCGCGGUAAUACGGAGGGUGCAAGCGUUAAUCGGAAUUACUGGGCGUAAAGCGCACGCAGGCGGUUUGUUAAGUCAGAUGUGAAAUCCCCGGGCUCAACCUGGGAACUGCAUUUGAAACUGGCAAGCUAGAGUCUCGUAGAGGGGGGUAGAAUUCCAGGUGUAGCGGUGAAAUGCGUAGAGAUCUGGAGGAAUACCGGUGGCGAAGGCGGCCCCCUGGACGAAGACUGACGCUCAGGUGCGAAAAGCGUGGGGAGCAAAACAGGAUUAGAUACCCCUGGUAGUCCACGCUGUAAAACGAUGUCGAUUUUGGAGGUUGUGCCCCUUGAGGCGUGGCUCCGGAGCUAACGCGUUAAAGUCGACCGCCCUGGGGGAGUACGGCNCAAGGUUAAAACUUAAAUGAA
Molecule: ribosomal RNA, 569 nt
Filed under: uncultured bacterium
Lineage: Bacteria
Description: partial 16S ribosomal RNA
Rfam family: Bacterial small subunit ribosomal RNA
Source: RNAcentral